This is a long non-coding RNA of Octopus sinensis (East Asian common octopus), 171 nucleotides long. RefSeq lists it as uncharacterized. The transcript is spliced from 3 exons. The record is from RefSeq and is a predicted model, not a curated record. NCBI's taxonomy places the organism in Eukaryota, Metazoa, Mollusca, Cephalopoda, Octopoda, Octopodidae.
CAGACAAAGCGAUUAAGGGGGUCAUUCGAUUAAAGCGACCCCCGUGCGCAACUGGAACUUAAUUUAUCGACGACGAAAGGAUGAAAGGCAAAGUCGACCUGGGAAGAAUUUGAACUCAGAACGUAAAGACAGACGAAAUACCGCUAAGCAUUUCGCCCGGCUGUCUAACGU